RNAcentral lists this ribosomal RNA (2564 nucleotides) under Saccharum spontaneum (wild sugarcane). Its description in RNAcentral is "bacterial LSU rRNA". The stretch from base 1130 to 2328 matches the Rfam family "Bacterial large subunit ribosomal RNA". The record is from RNAcentral. Lineage: Eukaryota; Viridiplantae; Streptophyta; Magnoliopsida; Poales; Poaceae.
AUUUCUGAGCCUAUGGUACAUUCGACGCAAACCGUGCACCUGUCUUGCGUCAAGAUUAGCACUAUCUGCAAAUAGACAGAAUCGAGCUUCCACUUGAGCCACAUCACCUAGAAGUACCGUCGGGUGCAUCCAAAACGAUUUAUGAGCUUUUGGUACAUUUGGCGCAAACCGUGCACCUAUCUUGCAACGACACUAACAUUGUCUCCAAACGGAAUGAAAUGGAAUUCCACAUACCCAAGUCACCUAGGAGUUCCAUCGGGUGUGUCCAAAACGACAUCCGAGCCUAUGGCACGAUCAGCACAAACUGUGCACCUAUCUUGUGUCGGGAUUAGCACUAUCUCCAAAUGGACCGAACUGAGCAUCCAUUUGAGCCUCGUCACCUAGGUGUACCAACGUGUGCGUCCAAAAAUGAUUUCAGAGCCUAUGGUACAUUUGGCGCAAACCGUGCACCUAUCUUGCAAUGACGCUAACACUGUCUCCAAAUGGACUGAAACGUUAUUCCACGUGACCUACGUCACCUAAGAGUUCCAUCCGAUGUGUCCAAAAAUGAUUUCUGAGCCUAUGGUACAUUUGGCGCAAACCGUGCACCUAUCUUGCAAUGACGCUAACACUGUCUCCAAAUGGACUGAAACGUUAUUCCACGUGACCUACGUCACCUAAGAGUUCCAUCCGAUGUGUCCAAAAAUGAUUUCUGAGCCUAUGGUACAUUUGGCGCAAACCGUGCACCUGUCUUGCGUCAAGAUUAGCACUAUCUGCAAAUAGACAGAAUCGAGCUUCCACUUGAGCCACAUCACCUAGAAGUACCGUCGGGUGCAUCCAAAACGAUUUAUGAGCUUUUGGUACAUUUGGCGCAAACCGUGCACCUAUCUUGCAACGACACUAACAUUGUCUCCAAACGGAAUGAAAUGGAAUUCCACAUACCCAAGUCACCUAGGAGUUCCAUCGGGUGUGUCCAAAACGACAUCCGAGCUUAUGGUACGAUCGGCGCAAACCGUGCACCUACUUUGUGUCUAGAUUAGCAGUAUCUCCAAACGGACCAAAACAGGCAUCCACUUGAGCCUCGACACCUAGGAGUACCAACGGGUGCGUCCAAAACGAUUUCUAAGCCUACGGUACAUUUGGCACAAACCGCGCAUCUAUCUUGGACCGACACUAACACUGUCUUCAAACAGACCAAAAUGGGAUUCCACCUGACCCAAGUGACCUAGGAGUUCCAUCAGUUGUUGUCAUAGUCAACGACAAUUUAAACUUCUAGGAAAACUUCGAAUUAGGAGGGCAAUCCUCCCGGUGAACUGACCGUACCCCAAACCGACACAGGUGAACAAGUAGAGUAUACUAGGGUGCAUUGAGAGAACCAUGUCGAAGGAACUCGGCAAAAUGACCCUGUAACUUCAGGAGAAGGGGUGCUCUCCUAUCUUUUGAUUAGGAAAGCGGCACAUACCAGGGGUAGCAACUGUUUAUUAAAAACACAGGACUCUACUAAGUGGUAACACAAUGUAUAGAGUCUGACACCUGCCUGGUGUUGGAAGGUCGGAAGGAGAAGUGUGAUAAGCUUUGAAUGGAAGCCCCGGUAAAUGGUAGCAGUAACUCUAUCUGUCCUAAGGUAGUGAAAUUCCUUGUCGCAUAAGUAGCGACCUGCACGAAUGGUGUAACGACUGCCCCGCUGUCUCCGACAUGGACCCAGUGAAAUUGAAUUCUUCGUGAAGAUGCAGAGUACCAAUGGCUAGACGGUAAGACCCCAUGCAUCUUGACAAUAGCUUUAUAGUGACAACCUUGAUCAAAUGUGUAGGAUAGGUGGGAGGUGGUGACACACAAUGACCAAUCCUAAAAGACCACUCUUUCAUUUAAGGAUGCCUAUCGCCGCACCGAUCAUUCGGGGGAAGGGCAGGACACUGCGAGGUGGGUAGUUUAUCUAGGGUGAAUGCCUCCUAAAGAGUAAUGGAGGUGUGCGAAGGUAGGCUCAAGCAUUGAUUCUACUCAUGAGCGUAAUGGUAUAAGCCUUCCUGACUAUGAGACCGACUGGUUGAAUAGAGAUGAAAGUCGACCAUAGUGAUUCGGGAGUCCCUAUGAAAGGGCUCUCGCUCAAUGGAUCAAAGGUACGCCACGGAUAACAGGCUGAUGACUCCUAAGAGCUCUUAUUGACAGAGUCAUUUGGUACCUCGAUGUCGACUCAUCACAUCCUAGGGUUGAAGAAGGUCCCAAGGGUUUGGUUGUUUGUCAAUGAAAGUGGUACGUGAGUUGGGUUUAGAACGUCGUGAGACAGUUCAGUUCCUAUCUUCCAUUGGUGUCCUUGUACCAGCAGCCCGUGAAAUCAGGAAGGGGCGCGUCAUCAUGAUUUCUGAGGUAAAACCACUUUUGGUGCCACCCCUUGUUAGAAGAAACCCCCUUCUUUGGACUGGGAAUAAUGGAGCUGGAGUGCACAGCGACCGUUAUACACUAGCAACGAACCCCCCUUCUUCGAGGAUUUAAGGAAGACGGAGCCAAAAAGUAGUACUUCCACUAGAUGUGGUUGGGCUCAAUGCCCAAAUAACCCUCGCACAAAGGAGCAAAGGCGGCGGCCUGCU